UACGUAGGCAGCGAGCGUUUGUUCGGAAUUACUGGGCGUAAAGAGUGUGUAGGCGGUGCUCUAAGUUCGGUGUGAAAUCUCCCGGCUUAACUGGGAGGGUGCGCCGGAAACUGGAGUGCUCGAGCGUGGGAGAGGAAAGGCGGAAGUUCCUGGUGUAGCGGUGAAAUGCGUAGAUAUCAGGAGGAACACCUGCGGUGUAGACGGCUUUCUGGACCAUUGCUGACGCUGAGACACGAAAGCGUGGGUAGCAAACAGG
RNAcentral lists this ribosomal RNA (256 nucleotides) under uncultured bacterium. Its description in RNAcentral is "partial 16S ribosomal RNA". It matches the Rfam family "Bacterial small subunit ribosomal RNA", at positions 524 to 776 of the family's 1533-position model. The record is from RNAcentral.